CAGGUUUUCCUGCCCUAGUCCUGGUUCCUGUGUUGAUGUCCGCUCUUGAGUCUCUGCUCCGAUUGUCAACAGGCAGACCAUGUGGCAUUGGGACAUGAAUUAAGAUUUCAACGAUUCCUGAGGUUUCAACCACAGGCUCUAUGGAAUGUUACAGAGUAAGUGUC
Camelus dromedarius (Arabian camel) is the source of this 164-nucleotide long non-coding RNA. RefSeq lists it as uncharacterized. The record is from RefSeq and is a predicted model, not a curated record. The transcript has 3 exons. Lineage: Eukaryota; Metazoa; Chordata; Mammalia; Artiodactyla; Camelidae.